RNAcentral lists this long non-coding RNA (734 nucleotides) under Malus domestica (apple). RNAcentral describes it as "long non-coding RNA (MDOM_LNC016046)". Lineage: Eukaryota; Viridiplantae; Streptophyta; Magnoliopsida; Rosales; Rosaceae. The record is from RNAcentral.
UUUUUCCAAGUCGCCGGAGUAGAUCUUGUUGCUGAAAGGGACGAGAUCGCCGAGAGUGUUGACUUGUUUCUGGCUCAGUCUUAGGUACGCCGGGCUGCCUCUGUCUCUCUCGUUGAUCUCGUACACAUGCAGUUCUUGAACUUUUGCUGAAAAAAUGAAAACUCUUUCAGUUUUUCUGUAACCUGUUUAAAAUCACUUCUGAUAGAAGUGCUUUAAUUAAAAGCAGGUGAAGUUUUUCUUAAAAAUCCAAGUAUUUCUUAGAAAAGGAUUUGGAAAUGCUUUCCGAGGAAGCAUUUAACCAAAAAACACUAAUGAUUUUUUUCCGCAAACGGAAUCAAAGCACAUUUAGGUUUAGCACUUCCCAAACUCCGAACAAGCCAGCCCGAAUCGCUUCUGGUUGUCAUAAAUCGCUUUUAACCAAAAAGCAGUCUCAAACGAUGACUAAAUUAGAGUUGACCAAAACUAAUUACACAUAAACACAUGACAAAUUAUGUAAAAAGGGCAUGAUCAGAAAACGGCUGAUAGAAAAAGUGCUUACUGGGUCGUGGAGAAUCAGAAUCAGCUGGUUCCUUCUUGUUCUUGCAGAAGAAAGCUGAGGUGGUGAAGUUGCUGGAGGCUGAGAGGACUUGAUUGGUUGAUGAGGAUUUAAGGGUCGGGAAGGAGUGUGAGAGAUUGAAGCCCAACAGUCUCUGAGCUCGAGAAGAUGAAGGAGGAGACCUGAUGGAGUUGGAGAA